GCGAGCAUGCUGGAACUGGCAGACAGGCACGUUUGAGGGGCGUGUGUCGAUGACGUGUGGGUUCGAUUCCCACUGCUCGCACCA
Molecule: transfer RNA, 84 nt
Filed under: Bacillota bacterium
Lineage: Bacteria; Bacillati; Bacillota
Description: tRNA-Leu
Rfam family: tRNA
About the family: Transfer RNA (tRNA) molecules are approximately 80 nucleotides in length. Their secondary structure includes four short double-helical elements and three loops (D, anti-codon, and T loops).
Source: RNAcentral